This 77-nucleotide transfer RNA is filed under the name Neolewinella antarctica. Its description in RNAcentral is "Lewinella antarctica tRNA-His". Lineage: Bacteria; Pseudomonadati; Bacteroidota; Saprospiria; Saprospirales; Lewinellaceae. The record is from RNAcentral.
GUUCGUAGGCUCCUAUUAUUAGGGAGGCUGGAUUGUGAUUCCAGUUGCUGUAGAUUCGAAUUCCACUACGCACCCCA